AAAAGAUCUUGCCUCCUGUCCCUGCAUUCACUCUCUUUGCAUUUUGCUAACUCACUCUGCAGGAAGCCAGCUGCCCUGAUGUGAUCUGCCUCACGAGAGGCCCCUUAGCCAAGAAGUGAUAGCUCCAGCCAGCGAAGAACAGAGGCCUUCAAUCCAACAUGUGCAAAGACCAGAAUUCUGCCCAGAACUAUGGGAGUGAGCUUGGAAGAAGAGACUCCCAUUUCACGCCAGUUUUGAGAGAACUGCAGAUUCUCCAACACCCAGAUUGCAGCUUCUGCGACCCUGAACCAGAACCACUCACGGAAGACACACCUGGAUUCCUGACCACCAGAAAUUUUACUGUGGGUGGAAGUGUGUUCCUAGAGGAAAGAUAAUAAAGCAAAACUCUGGACUUUCAGGACUAGCGAUAUGCAGGAAAAUACUCUCCAGUGAUGCUGAGCGGUGACAGCCAGCACAGCUCCCAGUCAGCCAUGCGAUCACAAGCGGAAACAAUGAAUCCACUCGCAACCAUUCUGUACCCAGACUUCCAUUGUUUUUCACUUUCAGUACAGUGUUCAAUAAAUCA
Lagenorhynchus albirostris (white-beaked dolphin) is the source of this 565-nucleotide long non-coding RNA. RefSeq lists it as uncharacterized. NCBI's taxonomy places the organism in Eukaryota, Metazoa, Chordata, Mammalia, Artiodactyla, Delphinidae. The record is from RefSeq and is a predicted model, not a curated record. The transcript has 3 exons.